Molecule: ribosomal RNA, 460 nt
Filed under: uncultured bacterium
Lineage: Bacteria
Description: partial 16S ribosomal RNA
Rfam family: Bacterial small subunit ribosomal RNA
Source: RNAcentral
CCUACGGGAGGCUGCAGUGAGGAAUAUUGGUCAAUGGACGAGAGUCUGAACCAGCCAAGUAGCGUGAAGGAUGACUGCCCUAUGGGUUGUAAACUUCUUUUAUAUGGGAAUAAAAUGUUCCACGUGUGGGAUUUUGUAUGUACCAUAUGAAUAAGGAUCGGCUAACUCCGUGCCAGCAGCCGCGGUAAUACGGAGGAUCCGAGCGUUAUCCGGAUUUAUUGGGUUUAAAGGGAGCGUAGGUGGAUUGUUAAGUCAGUUGUGAAAGUUUGCGGCUAAACCGUAAAAUUGCAGUUGAAACUGGCAGUCUUGAGGACAGUAGAGGUGGGCGGAAUUCGUGGUGUAGCGGUGAAAUGCUUAGAUAUCACGAAGAACUCCGAUUGCGAAGGCAGUUCACUGGACUGCAACUGACACUGAGGCUCGAAAGUGUGGGUAUCAAACAGGAUUAGAUACCCUUGUAGUC